This 45-nucleotide non-coding RNA is filed under the name Schistosoma mattheei. Lineage: Eukaryota; Metazoa; Platyhelminthes; Trematoda; Strigeidida; Schistosomatidae. The record is from RNAcentral.
AUCUAGCUGACGAGUCCUAAAUAGAACGAAACAUGUAUCUUGGGU